AGCAGUAGCCGCGGGAAUACGUAGGGUGCAAGCGUUAAUCGGAAUUACUGGGCGUAAAGCGCGCGUAGGUGGUUUGGUAAGAUGGAUGUGAAAUCCCCGGGCUCAACCUGGGAACUGCAUCCAUAACUGCCUGACUAGAGUACGGUAGAGGGUGGUGGAAUUUCCUGUGUAGCGGUGAAAUGCGUAGAUAUAGGAAGGAACACCAGUGGCGAAGGCGACCACCUGGACUGAUACUGACACUGAGGUGCGAAAGCGUGGGGAGCAAACAGGAUUAGAUACCCCGGUAGUCCCUGUCUCUUAUAC
Molecule: ribosomal RNA, 303 nt
Filed under: uncultured bacterium
Lineage: Bacteria
Description: partial 16S ribosomal RNA
Rfam family: Bacterial small subunit ribosomal RNA
Source: RNAcentral